AUAACUGCGGUAAUUCUGGAGCUNANNCAUGCCACAAAGCUCCNACCCCUAUGGGAAAGAGCGCGUUUAUUAGGUCAAAACCAAUCGGGUCCUCGCGGCCCGNANCUCUGAUGACUCUGGAUAACUUCGAGCUGAUCGCAUGGCCUCGUGCCGGCGACGUAUCUUUNAAGUGUGUGCCCUAUCAACUUUCGAUGGUACGUGAUAUGCCUACCAUGGUAGUAACGGGUAACGGGGAAUCAGGGUUCGAUUCCGGANAGGGAGCAUGAGAAACGGCUACCACAUCCAAGGAAGGCAGCAGGCGCGCNAAUUACCCAAUCCCGACACGGGGAGGUAGUGACGAAAAAUAACAAUACGGGACUCUUUUGAGGCCCCGUAAUUGGAAUGAGUACACUUUAAAUCCUUU
RNAcentral lists this ribosomal RNA (403 nucleotides) under Lumbricus sp. RNAcentral's name for it is "partial 18S ribosomal RNA". It matches the Rfam family "Eukaryotic small subunit ribosomal RNA", at positions 143 to 535 of the family's 1831-position model. The record is from RNAcentral. Lineage: Eukaryota; Metazoa; Annelida; Clitellata; Crassiclitellata; Lumbricidae.